CGGAGGGUGCGAGCGUUGUCCGGAAUCACUGGGCGUAAAGGGCGCGUAGGCGGCCGUGUAAGUCACUUGUGAAAUCCCGGGGCUCAACUCCGGGGCUGCAGGUGAGACUGCAUGGCUAGAGCUCGGUAGAGGCAAGUGGAAUUCCCGGUGUAGCGGUGGAAUGCGUAGAUAUCGGGAAGAACACCGGUGGCGAAGGCGGCUUGCUGGGCCGUAGCUGACGCUGAGGCGCGAAAGCGUGGGGAGCAAACAGGAUUAGAUACCCUGGUAGUCCACGCCGUAAACGAUGGGUACUAGGCGUCGGGGGGAGCGACCCCCUCGGUGCCGUCGCUAACGCAGUAAGUACCCCGCCUGGGGAGUACGGUCGCAAGACUG
This 372-nucleotide ribosomal RNA is filed under the name uncultured organism. RNAcentral's name for it is "bacterial SSU rRNA". It matches the Rfam family "Bacterial small subunit ribosomal RNA", at positions 526 to 896 of the family's 1533-position model. The record is from RNAcentral.